UGGGGAAUAUUGCACAAUGGGCGCAAGCCUGAUGCAGCCAUGCCGCGUGUGUGAAGAAGGCCUUCGGGUUGUAAAGCACUUUCAGCGAGGAGGAAGGUGGUGAGCUUAAUACGCUCAUCAAUUGACGUUACUCGCAGAAGAAGCACCGGCUAACUCCGUGCCAGCAGCCGCGGUAAUACGGAGGGUGCAAGCGUUAAUCGGAAUUACUGGGCGUAAAGCGCACGCAGGCGGUUUGUUAAGUCAGAUGUGAAAUCCCCGGGCUCAACCUGGGAACUGCAUUUGAAACUGGCAAGCUAGAGUCUCGUAGAGGGGGGUAGAAUUCCAGGUGUAGCGGUGAAAUGCGUAGAGAUCUGGAGGAAUACCGGUGGCGAAGGCGGCCCCCUGGACGAAGACUGACGCUCAGGUGCGAAAGCGUGGGGCAGCAAACAGGAUUAGAUACCCUGGUAGUCCACGCUGUAAAACGAUGUCGAUUUGGAGGUUGUGCCCUUGAGGCGUGGCUUCCGGAGCUAACGCGUUAAAGUCGGCCGCCUGGGGA
RNAcentral lists this ribosomal RNA (535 nucleotides) under uncultured bacterium. Its description in RNAcentral is "partial 16S ribosomal RNA". It matches the Rfam family "Bacterial small subunit ribosomal RNA", at positions 355 to 879 of the family's 1533-position model. The record is from RNAcentral.